CAGCUCUUUAUUAAACCAAUUGGAAGGCACCUCAGCAAAGACACAUCUUCAGGGUAAACAAAUAUUCUGAACGAGAUUAGUGGCUGGGCAUGCCUCAGAGGGGUGAUCUAGAUUAGGUUAGUAUCUAAAGGAUUGUCUAGAUCAGGUCAGAUCUGGGUCAUGCACCUCUGAGGAGUGACCUGGAUUGGGUUAGCUGAAGCAGGGAAGCCGCCAUAACUGGACUGCAUUGCCAGUUAUGAAAAGGAGGAAGUGAGUUGAGCUCUCCCGUUCAUCUUCCUCUGCCUCUACCUGUAGCCAGCAGCCCUCACCUCCUCCACCCUCCCACCGUGAGGGAAUUGCAUCCUGCGGCUCCAGGCCAAAAUAAACUCUUCCUCCUGUAGGAUGCUUUUGUCACUGCAGAAAGAGAAAUAACUUAGUGUGGAGACCCAAAAAUGUGAGCCUGCUCCACCUUGUCUGAAGGUCAGAGGGUUUGAGCUUAGUUUUGCUUUCUCAAAGUUGUUAACAACAGGUGUGGCUACAAACAAGCCUAGGGUGUGGUUAAUUAGUACUCUGGGUGUUGAAGUAGAUCCCCUUCACCUGAACCGAAGGGCAGAGAAUUCCAGCCUAUCCCUCAUGUCAUGCUAAUGAAGCCGGUUGCCUCCCCACCUCCCCUUUAGGAGUGAAGUACAUAAGCCUGUGGAAGAAUAAACGAGGUGAAUUCAGUAUUCACUGAAUGUCCCUCCUGAUGCUGUUCUGUUUCUGUCUCUUAUUUCUCCUAUGUCUGUUCCUUUUGCCUAAUAAUUGGAACCCUCACGCUCCUACCCUGGACCAUGUGAGUUUUGUCGAAGCCGGUUUUCGACAACUACAACUUCCCUUCUCAUUUUCUUUUCCUUGUUUUUCUGGUUGCUUCCUGUCCCUUUUGCUGAUGUUUAUCUGCCUGCUGGCCUUCAGGCUUGUCUCAGCAUGUGGCUCCCUUUCUCUGCUUUUAUCCCCCUUAAGUCUGAGGUGCUACAGAGACCCACAUUCUCUCCUGAGUGUGAGGUCAGUUUGCCCACACCCUCAUCUCUUUGGGUAAUGGAGAACUUCCUCCCUUCUGGUUUUCAGGGCCAGAUAUCUGGAGCAUCAGGCUAUGCCUACCAAAUUUGUUACAUUGAGUCAAUUUGGCUCAUCCUCAUUAGGGAGACUGUCUGGCCAGCCUCCGUUUCCUGCUAAUAGGUACCGUCAGGAAGCCUGUAAGGGGCCAGGCCAGGGCAUCAAAGGACGGCUCUGCCCAGUUGCCCAGAGGUGUAUACUCUGUACAAGAAUGAACAGAAGAAGUAAAGGGAACUUCCCAAGGAACUGUGAAAUCAAGACCCAAAGCAAGAACAACAAAAGCAAAGAAAUUUUGCUUUGAGGAUAUUUUGUGUCCUUCUCAGCUGAAGGAGCUCCCAUGUCCCAUCUGAAAGCGGUGGGGAGUGAGAGAGGAAAGUGCUCAAAGUUGGCCUCUGGCCUCCACAUGGACACACACAGGUAGACGGUGAUGCAUCAUGCAACCCCACGGUCGCACUGAAGUGCGUGUCAGCAGACACACCUGGACUGCACCAUGGGGCUGUCCUGUCUCAUGCUGGGGGAAUUAUUGAUCUAAUGGAUCUGACACUUCCCAACUAAGCUAGCGAUUCUGAAGUCAGCACACAAAGCUUCAGGCGGCACCUGUAAAAGCUGACAGCCGUGAGGGCUGCAGAAACCAAGGCAUAAUGGUGAUUGUGAUUGCCAACGCGCAUAAGAAGGAUGUGCUUUAAAUCCCCAUAACCUACUGGCUCUUUCACUUGACUCUGGUGCCAGGGGCUAGAAAGAUGGCAUCCUAGUGUUAUUGGUUUCCUCCUUAUUCUUCUCAUCUCCUAAAAAGCAUCAGAAUGGUUAUUUCAGAACUCAUAACUAUUAUUAAGAUUAUCUAUGUAUAUAAUAUCUGUGUGUAUACUGGAUACAGCAGGCAUUGUCCUAAGUGUUUCCAUACAUCAGUUAUUGUUAAAGCUUACUUAACUGUGUGAGCGUUUUGCCUGUCUGUAUGUAUAUGCACCACACACACACCUGAUGCCUGUAGAGGUCAGAAGAAGGCCCUGGAACUAGAGUUACAGAUGGUUGGGAGCCACCAUGUGGUACUUGGAACUGAACCUGGGUCCUCUGCGAGAGCAGCGCAUGCUUGUAACCAUCUCUCCAGUUCCCUGUAUCAGUUAUGGUAACCCUCACAACCUAUCCUCUUCAAAGGGAAAGCUACUAACAUUAGUCACUUGGUGGCUACACUUAUAAUCCUUAGUUUACUCCGCCAUUUAUAUUGCUUUAGUUUUCAGCAGGGUCACCGUGGAACUGUGAGAGGCGGGAGGAGGAGACACAGUAGAUGGCUCUCCUGGCAUGCCUGGAAUUCCAAGCUCUUUGCUGUCAUCUUGUCCAUAUGCGCUGGCACGGUUGUUAUUUCUUGGAAGACUACACAGGAUAAUGAGCCAUGGCUAAAGUGCUUGGAUCUAAGCAUGGCGUUUUGGUUCGGAGAGGUUUUGUCAUGUUGCCUUUAAGGAAAUACCGUUGGAUCUUAGAAAGACUGCCGGUUUUUCUAACAUAUUUUAUGAUUGUUUGGAAGGGAGGCUUAUAGAAGUAGGAAGUGUUGCCUUCUGUGGGCAUUAACUGUACAUUGUAUUUGCCUAGGGUCAGUGCUAAUGCCCUGUGUUUGGAAGUUAGCUAUUAUUAGGGUGUUAUUUAAAUUUCUCUACAGGCUAAAAUGGUCUUAAUGGAGACCUCAUCUGCAACAAUGCAUGAAAGUCAAAAGAAAUCGCAUUCUUUGGGUUCUAUUCACAUAUUUGAAAAUUACACAGGUCAGACGCAGAAAUCAAUUUAGAGCAUGAUUGUUUGAAUAGAACAUGUAUUGGAUUUUUCAAAGGAAAUAUGCAAUCUUUCUUCUCAAACUCUUAUUGAAUAAAUACCGCAAUCUGACCAAGAAAAGGUGUGUCAGAAUCACACAGCUGCCAAUUUAACAAACCGCAACGGAAGUCUGUACUUAGAGAAACUAUUUCCCUGAACAGAUUUAUGCAUGUGCGAGCCUGUAACACGGUGUGACUCAAGGAAGACAGGUUAAGCGUGAUUGACUUCUCUUUGGUGGUUGGAAGUUGAGGAUUUAUCCUUUAGGAGAAACAACCACCCCCAAGUCUUGAAAGGAAAACUCAAAGGAAGCCCUGGGCAUAUGAAUUCAGCUGGACACUUUUAGAUUUCCUUUCCUUUCCAUUUUGAACUUUCAGUUUUCAUUCUUCCCUCCAAAGUUUCCCCCUUCCGCUCCCGCCAUGGCCCUUGGAAAGACAGACACCAUGUCCCUUUUCAAUUUCAAUGAGCUCUUGCUUUCCCAACAACAAAGUAACCACUUGUGAGUAAGGCAAAGAAAAUGAAACUAUGUGUCCCCCUCGGGCUGUCGUCAUUCACUUGCUUCCUCAUCCUUAUGGAUGUCAGUACUGAUUUAAUUGUAAAUCAGCACAAUAUUUGGCUCAUUAAUAAGAAGCACCAAACUGAAGGAAUGCUGAUGUGCAGGAUUUCAGGGUCCUGGGGGAUCUACAGUGCCAUUGCAGGCAGUGUCCUGGAGGGAGGGAGGUGGGUGAUCCUGGAGACAGCUACCAAGACAGAUGUUUGCUUUGGAGCUUUUAAUAUCUUAAUUUUCCUGCCAUUUUAUUGCCGACUCUUUUCUACAUUAUUUUGCCUGGACAAAAUGUGCCCAUCAGUUAAACAUUUAAGAUAAUAGCUGUUGUUAGGGAAUCUGGUCAUUUCCAGAAGGUUCUUAAAGCAUUUCAGUGUCUUUAGUACGAGUAGAUGGAAAAUGAAGGGUUUUCCCUCACGGCGUAGUAGCCCAUGUCUCCAGUGGAGUUUAUCGAAGUGGUAUGAGCCAUCCAUCAGCUAUGGCUGGUUUUUUUUUUUUUU
Myodes glareolus (Bank vole) is the source of this 3909-nucleotide long non-coding RNA. RefSeq lists it as uncharacterized. The record is from RefSeq and is a predicted model, not a curated record. Lineage: Eukaryota; Metazoa; Chordata; Mammalia; Rodentia; Cricetidae.